GCUUACACAUGCAAGUCGAGGGGUAGGGGCCUUCGGGCCUUGAGACCGGCGCACGGGUGCGUAACGCGUAUGCAAUCUGCCUUCCACAGAGGGAUAGCCCAGAGAAAUUUGGAUUAAUACCUCAUAGCAUCAUGACCCGGCAUCGGGAUAUGAUUAAAGUCACAACGGUGGAAGAUGAGCAUGCGUCCCAUUAGCUAGUUGGUAAGGUAACGGCUUACCAAGGCUACGAUGGGUAGGGGUCCUGAGAGGGAGAUCCCCCACACUGGUACUGAGACACGGACCAGACUCCUACGGGAGGCAGCAGUGAGGAAUAUUGGUCAAUGGGCGCAAGCCUGAACCAGCCAUGCCGCGUGCAGGAUGACGGUCCUAUGGAUUGUAAACUGCUUUUGUACGGGAAGAAACCCUCCUACGUGUAGGAGCUUGACGGUACCGUAAGAAUAAGGAUCGGCUAACUCCGUGCCAGCAGCCGCGGUAAUACGGAGGAUCCAAGCGUUAUCCGGAAUCAUUGGGUUUAAAGGGUCUGUAGGCGGUCUUGUAAGUCAGUGGUGAAAGCCCAUCGCUCAACGGUGGAACGGCCAUUGAUACUGCUGGACUUGAAUUAUUGGGAAGCAACUAGAAUAUGUAGUGUAGCGGUGAAAUGCUUAGAGAUUACAUGGAAUACCAAUUGCGAAGGCAGGUUGCUACCAAUGGAUUGACGCUGAUGGACGAAAGCGUGCGUAGCGAACAGGAUUAGAUACCCUGGUAGUCCACGCCGUAAACGAUGGAUACUAGCUGUUGCGCGCAAGUUCAGUGGCUAAGCGAAAGUGAUAAGUAUCCCACCUGGGGAGUACGAACGCAAGUUUGAAACUCAAAGGAAUUGACGGGGGCCCGCACAAGCGGUGGAGCAUGUGGUUUAAUUCGAUGAUACGCGAGGAACCUUACCAAGGCUUAAAUGCAGACUGACCGGUUUGGAAACAGACCUUUCGCAAGACGGUCUACA
This 979-nucleotide ribosomal RNA is filed under the name Flavobacterium anhuiense. RNAcentral describes it as "bacterial SSU rRNA". It matches the Rfam family "Bacterial small subunit ribosomal RNA", at positions 46 to 1035 of the family's 1533-position model. The record is from RNAcentral. Lineage: Bacteria; Pseudomonadati; Bacteroidota; Flavobacteriia; Flavobacteriales; Flavobacteriaceae.